UUCUUAUCAAGAGAAGUGGAGGGAAUGGCCCAAUGAAGCUUCAGCAACCAGCCAACCAUGGUCAGGUGCUAAAUCCAGCAGUUUAUCUGCAAGAUAAGAG
RNAcentral lists this non-coding RNA (100 nucleotides) under Shouchella clausii KSM-K16. RNAcentral's name for it is "Bacillus clausii KSM-K16 SAM riboswitch aptamer (S box leader)". It matches the Rfam family "SAM riboswitch aptamer (S box leader)". From Rfam's summary of the family: The SAM riboswitch is found upstream of a number of genes which code for proteins involved in methionine or cysteine biosynthesis in Gram-positive bacteria. The SAM riboswitch acts at the level of transcription termination control. The predicted structure consists of a complex stem-loop region followed by a single stem loop terminator region. The record is from Rfam by way of RNAcentral. RNAcentral also lists the same sequence under 1 other name. Lineage: Bacteria; Bacillati; Bacillota; Bacilli; Caryophanales; Bacillaceae.